Molecule: non-coding RNA, 79 nt
Organism: Schistosoma curassoni
Lineage: Eukaryota; Metazoa; Platyhelminthes; Trematoda; Strigeidida; Schistosomatidae
Source: Rfam
AACUUUCUGAAUCCAUGUCGAGAUUUCGUCAGACACCAGCUUAUCAGGACUGAUGAGACUCCAGAGAUAAGUGAGCGUU